AACAUCCGGUUUGAAUACAUGUGUUUUCUGACUUUUCGGAUAGCCAACUCUUGUUUUUUGGAACUUACGACUUAUGGCAAGAGAGAAGAAAACUGUGUGACGUUAAAAGAAACCAGUGAGAUAAAAUCAUAGAAAAUGUAUGAUGAUUCAGGAUUUGUGACAUUAAAACAGGAAUUGUCAUCACCAAUAGACGAAUUUCAAAUUCCUAAGAGUUUUCUCCAAUUGUCGGCGUAUCGCUCAUUUUUCCCACUUUGUCCUUUGUCCUGUUCUGUGGAUGCCCUCAGACAGUGUCUACCCAUCACUCCAUGUGACCUUGGACUAAUUUUCUAGGUCAAAGAUCAUAGGUGAUGUGAAGAAAACCAGGAAACUGAUGUUGAAAGAAGUACUUAAUGACCCUUAUGAAUGGACUUGAAUGUGAAAG
This is a long non-coding RNA of Saccostrea cuccullata (small rock oyster), 421 nucleotides long. RefSeq lists it as uncharacterized. NCBI's taxonomy places the organism in Eukaryota, Metazoa, Mollusca, Bivalvia, Ostreida, Ostreidae. The transcript is spliced from 5 exons. The record is from RefSeq and is a predicted model, not a curated record.